Molecule: ribosomal RNA, 465 nt
Filed under: uncultured bacterium
Lineage: Bacteria
Description: partial 16S ribosomal RNA
Rfam family: Bacterial small subunit ribosomal RNA
Source: RNAcentral
CCUACGGGAGGCAGCAGUGGGGAGUAUUGCGCAAUGGGCGGAAGCCUUAAGCAGCGAAGCCGCGGGAAGGAUGAAGGUCUUCGGAUCGUAAACCUCUGUCCGCAGGGAAGGAAGGUCACUGUGCUAAUCAGCAGUGCAUUGACGGACCCUGACUAAGAAGCAGCGGCUAAAUACGUGCCAGCAGCCGCGGUCAUACGUCUGGUGCAAGCGUUAUCCGGAUUUAGUGGGUGUAAAGGGAGCGCAGGCGGCGCGUUAAGCCUUGUGUGAAAGCCCGCGGCCCAUCCGCGGGACGGCAUUGGGAACUGGCGCGCUGGAGUGCCGGAGGGGUAGGCGGAAUUCCUAGUGUAGCGGUGAAAUGCGUAGAUAUUAGGAGGAACACCAGUGGCGAAGGCGGCCUACUGGACGGUGACUGACGCUGAGGCUCGAAAGCGUGGGGAGCAAACAGGAUUAGAUACCCCGGUAGUC